UGCGGAAUUGGAAUCUCGAUUUAUAUAUGCUAACUUGUUUUGAUUUUAUAUAACAGCGUUACUCUCUGAUUCAUCGUCUUCUUAUUGACGGCAGAGGAAAUUGCAAGGGCUUCCAGAGAAAAUUGCAGCGAUUCGAUCAGUAUUUGGAAGAAACAUCCAUAUCCUUUGGGCGGUCUAGACUUUCUUGAGAAUGUGUGGUUGAUUUCAGAACAUCGCUUCUUUAGAAAGGGUUGUAUGGUGCGUGAAGGAUUUGAUUUGCCACUCUCUUGUCUUUCUUGGUUUAUUCUACAAAUAUAGUUGAUGGCAUCACAUAAAAAGGAGUAUGUAAGUGAGCACUCUAUCACUAUAAGUAUUCACAACAGAGAUUUUUUCUUUCUAUUUCUGAUCAAUGGUUCUCGUUUUUGUUGCAUAA
Long non-coding RNA from Capsella rubella, 412 nucleotides. RefSeq lists it as uncharacterized. The record is from RefSeq and is a predicted model, not a curated record. The transcript has 4 exons. NCBI's taxonomy places the organism in Eukaryota, Viridiplantae, Streptophyta, Magnoliopsida, Brassicales, Brassicaceae.